GAUGAACGCUGGCGGCGUGCCUAAUACAUGCAAGUCGAGCGAACGCACGAGAAUCUUGCUUCUCUGAUGUUAGCGGCGGACGGGUGAGUAACACGUGGAUAACCUACCUAUAAGACUGGGAUCACUUCGGGAAACCGGAGCUAAUACCGGAUAAUAUUUUGAACCGCAUGGUUCAAAAGUGAAAGACGGUCUUGCUGUCACUUAUAGCUUGAUCCGCGCUGCAUUAGCUAGUUGGUAAGGUAACGGCUUACCAAGGCAACGAUGCAUAGCCGACCUGAGAGGGUGAUCGGCCACACUGGAACUGAGACACGGUCCAGACUCCUACGGGAGGCAGCAGUAGGGAAUCUUCCGCAAUGGGCGAAAGCCUGACGGAGCAACGCCGCGUGAGUGAUGAAGGUCUUCGGAUCGUAAAACUCUGUUAUUAGGGAAGAACAUAUGUGUAAGUAACUGUGCACAUCUUGACGGUACCUAAUCAGAAAGCCACGGCUAACUACGUG
RNAcentral lists this ribosomal RNA (497 nucleotides) under uncultured bacterium. RNAcentral describes it as "partial 16S ribosomal RNA". It matches the Rfam family "Bacterial small subunit ribosomal RNA", at positions 28 to 507 of the family's 1533-position model. The record is from RNAcentral.